This 267-nucleotide ribosomal RNA is filed under the name uncultured bacterium. RNAcentral's name for it is "partial 16S ribosomal RNA". It matches the Rfam family "Bacterial small subunit ribosomal RNA", at positions 86 to 354 of the family's 1533-position model. The record is from RNAcentral.
CCGGGCGACCGGCGGCACGGGUGAGUAACACGUAUGCAACCUGCCCUCUUCAGGGGGACAACCUUCCGAAAGGGAGGCUAAUCCCGCGUAUANCGGUUUCGGGCAUCCGAGAUCGAGGAAAGAUUCAUCGGAAGAGGAUGGGCAUGCGGCGCAUUAGCUAGACGGCGGGGUAACGGCCCACCGUGGCGACGAUGCGUAGGGGUUCUGAGAGGAAGGUCCCCCACACUGGUACUGAGACACGGACCAGACUCCUACGGAAGGCAGCAG